AACGAACGCUGGCGGCAGGCUUAACACAUGCAAGUCGAACGCACUCUUCGGAGUGAGUGGCAGACGGGUGAGUAACGCGUGGGAAUCUACCCAGCCCUUCGGAAUAGCUCCGGGAAACUGGAAUUAAUACCGAGUACGCCUACGGGGGAAAGGAUUUAUCGGGGUUGGAUGAGCCCGCGUUGGAUUAGCUAGUUGGUGGGGUAAUGGCCUACCAAGGCGACGAUCCAUAGCUGGUCUGAGAGGAUGAUCAGCCACACUGGGACUGAGACACGGCCCA
Molecule: ribosomal RNA, 277 nt
Filed under: uncultured bacterium
Lineage: Bacteria
Description: partial 16S ribosomal RNA
Rfam family: Bacterial small subunit ribosomal RNA
Source: RNAcentral